RNAcentral lists this long non-coding RNA (7415 nucleotides) under Pelobates cultripes (western spadefoot toad). Lineage: Eukaryota; Metazoa; Chordata; Amphibia; Anura; Pelobatidae. The record is from RNAcentral.
UUCUAGAAUUGUUACACACUCGCUGAUAACUUUUCCAUUAUUUCAUAGAAUGUUCAGAUGAGCACUUUCUGAGAUGAAAAACAAUGUAGAAGAAGAAGACAACUGGACAUUUUUUCAAGGUACAUUUAUUUCAGAACUUUUAAAAUUUACUUACUAAGCUUAAUUUCUCUAACCCACUGGCCAAAUUAGCUGAGCUAGAAAAAUUAAACUUGGAUGUUUUUUUUUUUUUUUUUCAAACAUGUUACCUGUCCUUAUCACAACUUACUAUUCAGUGAAACAUAUUCUUUACUGUUCUGUUUUUGUGUGUAUCAUGCAUUUGUCUGUAUACACGGCCUGUUCCAAUUUGAUUGUAUGGCACUGGCAGUAGUUCCAUGUAUGCACCCCGAACUAACCCUUUGGCAGAGAACUCAGAAUUUGCUUGGCCAAGGUUCACGAAGUCAGUUUAGAACAUUUCUAUUUCAUUUGCAGUCCUUUAAUACAAUGGUCCAUUCCUGGUGUUUUCACCUUCAGUUUAGGUAAUUUUAGACCUUGAAGAAGAAUAUGUGUAAUUAAAUGGCAUAAAACAAGGCUAAACUUUAGCUAAUGUUGGCCAUAGUGGAACAAUUAGCACAGAAAUGAAUGGAAUGUAUCUGCUGAUUGUCAGAACUGUGGCAUUCUUAUAAUACUGCACGAUAAGUUAUAUUUCAGAAAUAUAUUUAAUUCCUUUAGGAAUAGUGUGAAAAAUCCAUAAAUUGUACUAGCAGCUUUAGUAUGUUAUUGUACAUUAAAGCCCUUUACACUCACUAUAAGAAUGUACAAUGCCAGUCUAAAAUGAACUCAAAUAAUAAUACACUCCAGGCUGGAGAUAACACCCCUCCUUUUUUUUUUUUUAUUCUUAAUUUUAUUCAUGCAUAGGUUAUGCAAACAAGAUUGCGCCGUCACAGCAGCUAGUACAUACAUAACAUGAAAUGGGUUAUAACAAUUAUGUGACAUGGGGAACAGUGCACAUUUUAUUUUAAUGAGGAAGAACAAUCGCAUAUCGACCUUUUUUAAUAAAGAAGUGUAGUCCAGGUAAGGUUAGAUUAAGGUGUUGGCUUGGGUUAGGCGGGUGCAUGCGAUAGGUGCCUCAGAGUUACCAUCUGGAGGGAGACGGUGUGGUUAUAUAGCCAGGGCUCAUACCUGUUACCAGUGUAGUUAUGGUGUGUUCUAUGUGAUAUGUGGCUGAGUAGCAAGUAGGGCGAUAAAAUCAGUGUGUGUGGUGCUUGGUAGUGUUUGCCAUGGUAACUUGCACACUUUGUAGGCUGAAACUAAUUAUACCCACCAACAGAAGUAAUUUACGAGACUGGUGUGUGGACUAGGCGAAGUAAAAUAAUAUAACUGAAAUGAUUAACUUAAAUGAAUUAACUAUCAUAAGUAAAGUCUGACCUGCAACACGUUUAUCUAGUUUAGAUCAGGAUUAUCGUGUGCAGGUCGUGAGGGUAAUCACAUUUAGCAGAACUGGGUUGUCAUUUCUAAUGGUAGGACUAAGGCAAUAUACUCUCCUGAUCAAUAAUAUGCUGGGCAUUGGAGUCAGCAAGCUACACAUAUUUUGGCAUUGUACUUUGUGCUAAACUGCAUAAAUGAGAUAGGACACAAGAAAAGAAAAAAAAAAGGAUAUCGAUAAAAGGAAAACAAUGAAAUAUUUGCUCAUCUGCAGGUAAAAGUCCUCAGCAAUCAGGGAUCAGGCAUGACAACCAUGCAGGUAGGAGCAACAGGCAUCCCGGUGAAGUGCAAAGCUGAUGUAGGACAUAUGUAGCCAGGCCCCCCCAGGCGCUCAGCCCACGUCCGGUCUCGAGGUUCGCCGCCUGGCAGUAAGAGUCCUCUCGGCAAUAUGUCGCAACCAACUACUUAGCUAGAUGCUGGAAGUCAUGUCCGAAUAGGAACUUGGGGUCUCUUGAGAGUCAGUCUGUUCUCGGUAGGGAUGACGUGGGGUUCGAAAGAAGAUAAAAAUGAUAAUAAUUCGGAGCGUCCAGGUAAUGUCUAACUAUUCAAGUGGUGAUUGCAGCGUAGGUAUCUAACCGGGUACCUAGUGGUACAAAUGGGGUGAUGUUGGCUGGAUUCCAUCUGCUGGUCAAGGGGGCCCGAUCCCUGUUUUCAGCUUGAUGGAGUGCGUCCUCCGGUAUGCCCAGGGUCUGCAGGAGUGCUGCUGCUUCUGGCAAGUUCUGCACGGUAAAAACUGAGUUCCCUUGUUGUAUUUGUAACGUUCGUGGCGGACGCCACCUGUAACGUAUGCCGUGAUCUCGGAGUAGGGUGAUAAAGGGCCCCAUAGUUCUUCCCCACUGGAGAGUGUCUCCCGUGAGAUACGCAUAAAAGGUGAGGGCCAUAUUUUCAAAAGAGUAUGUGGAUACCCCUUUGAGUGCCGCCAUUACCGCCGUUUUGUCGGCUCCGCUGCAGAAUUUCAAUACUAGGUCUCGGGCUGCUGUAGCUCUUUUCGGGGCUUGGGUAUACGGAAGAUCCCCUCUGGUAUUACGUUUUUGGUCCAUUUGGGUGUUAGUAGGGCCCCCAGCAGCCUUCUCAGCAAGUGUGGCAGUUCCUCGGUCGGCACUUCUUCUGGUACACCCUGUAUCUUGAGAUUGUUGUGCCGUCUCGUGUCUUCCAGUAUUGUGAAGCGCUGUUCUGUUAUGCCUUGUUGUUUUUUCAGUGCGGUCACUUCUUUUUGGAGCUCCGCUAUGGAGUGGGUCGCAGCUUCUGCAGAGGUUUAUACCCUGCUCAGGCGAUUCACCGUGCCCUUUAGAUCUGUGCUAAGAAGUGCUACGUCGGUCUGUAUGGUCUUUUGGAGGUCCCCCAGCAUUGCCUUGAGGGUUGCCUCCGUCACCGGUGCUGAGGUCUGUAGGACCGACCGUGGAUGUAGCGGCCGGGGAGGUCCCAUGCUGCUGUCAUCUAGGAAUGGGUCCUCCGAGGAGUCAGUAAGUUCUCCGAGGUCGGCGGCCAUCUUGGGUCCGCAUGCUCCCUGCGCUUGUCUGAACAUUUCCCCUAUAGUCAUGCCCAACCAGGAUUUGUCUGGUUUUUGUUUCUUUGCCUUUCUGCCCAUGUUCAAUUUAGGGUCUUUUUCAGUGAUUUCCACUAAUUGUGGUGUUCAUUAUGCUGUGUUAGUUCUGUCUCGCUCAGGUUGCAUGCGUCCGUCUUGUUGGCUCCAUCCCCAACACCCCUCCUUUUUAAUUCUAUAGAUAAUCAGUUAAAAAUACAAAACAGAAAUAAAUACAAGACAAUUAAAAUAAAAAACAAUUUUUGUCCCAUAAACACCUUACCCAUAAAAGUUCAACCCCUAGUAUAAUCCUGCCUGCUCUGCAUGGAUGUGCCAUGCACAGAACCUGAACAGAUUUUGGAUGGCAGAGAAAUAACUGAAACACAACACAAUAUUCAGUGAGGCAUCCCACAAUGCAGUAUGUUCAGACACUUGCUAAACAAUAAGCAUCACAGAGACCGUAUUGCAAAUUUAGGUAAGCAUAUGACUUGUCGAUUACAGGACUAAAUUGGUUGGCCUGAGCCAACCAAUCACAGUUUGCUGACUGAGCAUUCACAGUCUGGGUAAGUCUAAAUAAGCAGCAUUCUCAUCUUGAAUGAUCAGUUUUUGCUAAGCAUUAAAUAGGCUUAUAUGGGUUAUUUUUUUACUUUGAAGUUUUUUCAAUUUGGGUCUAUUUUAUUGUUUUUUGGGGGGUAUUUUUAUAUUUUGGGGGCAAUAAAAGAAAAUUGAAUAAGAAGACUGAGGGGGAAUAGGUAGGGACAUAUUUUGGUUGGCAGCUAGGGAGUUGAGAACCGAUAGCCACUUGAGGGGUUGGUCACUGUGUGGGCUCAGGAUACUAGACAUCUCCUGGAUGCUUAUCGGGAAUCAUAUGUGUUUUUUUUUUUUUUGUAAAGCCAGAAAACUAAGCAUCUCCUGGGCCUUUAGAAGAAGCUAUGUAUAUUUUAUUACAGGGUCUAGGGUAAUAAGCAUCUUCUGGACCCUUAUUGGAGGAUCACAUGUAUUUUUAUAACAGGGCCCCACAGACUGGGCAUCGCCUGGACACUAUUCACUCUCCGCACCAUCGCCCAUGGAGUGAAGAAAAGGAAAAAGAUGCUAACAGGGCCUCUUCUGUUUUUGUGGAGUUUGUUAGUCUAAUAAAAAUGGUAAAAAUGGUAAAAACUCCAAUUCUUUAUUCUUUUACAUCUUCCAAGAUGACACAGUCCAACAUUCCUGUACAUAUUCUGUAUUGGUCCAAACAUUUUCUUCCCAUGAACAAAUGAGACAAUUUUCCCACUAAUACGUUAAGUUCCUAAGUGAUAUAUAAGUAGUCUCACUUCAAGCCAACUUCAGAAGAUCUUUUUUCUUUUUUCAAAGGCCUUGUCUACUUGUAAGGCUAGUGUUCCUAGCUGUUGUGGUUAUGGUAUUUAAAGUGUCCCUUUAAUGACAAACUAUCAAAUCUAAUAAGACCAAAUUAUACCAGAUUUAAUGCCAAAUAAGAAUUCUUAAUGAGAGGUAAUGAAACAAAACUUUGCUGAUAAUAAAAUCACAAACUAUGUCAUUUGAUCACACACUCCUUCUGAUUGCAGGGUUACGAUAAAUUGGCAGCAGGCUUCUGUUUAAAGAGACAAAAUAUUUAGCAUAACUGUCUUCGCAGUAAAACAUUUUUUUAACAGUAGCUGAUAAAGCAUCAAUGCUAAUUGUUUUGCAACCUACCCCAUAGCGCAACUUACAGUUUACAAGAGAUUCAAACAUUACAUUAUGUUGAGACACUGGAACAACUCCACACUGACGGCAACCUACGAAUGAAAAAAAACAACAAAAAAACACAUUGUGGAAUGUUUGCUAACAAGUCAUGAAUUUGCUCUAAUUGUUUCCAGAUUUUGGAUUCUGUAGCUUCCUCUGCGAAACUUCUAAUUUCUUCCAUGUAACAGCCUCAUGUCUUGUAAUAAGUCGGUUUUAUGUGUGUGUUCCUGUAAAAUGUGUAUUUUAUGCUCCAUUUCAGUUCCAUACAAAAAAAAAAAUCUUUUGUACUUAUUUAUUUUCUAGCGACAUAUAGAAAGAAUGUCUCACUAUGAAAUGAAGAUUUAAAGCGACAGCAGAUUGUUUAACUACAUAAGGUAAAAUGGCGCAUUCAUUCUUAAUACUUCCAUUGUUGUAAAACAUACUAAGUGUAAUAUGUUUAUUGGUGUUGAAAAUACAUUAGUCUCCUUUGUAGUACUUUGUAGGUACUUUAUUUCUAUCUUUUUAUCUGAAUUCAAUAUGCUUUUUCAACAUCUAAACUGGGUGAAUGUCUCUAAUGAUUUACAGAUGGGCUAUGUAAACCAUAUAGAGCAUUUACGAUUUUUUUUUAAUGGUUUUUAAAUGCUGGUGAUUAGGUUAUUUUGUAAGUCUUGAUAAGAUUAAGUUUAUAGCUUGCCUCAGGAUGAAACUUUGUAAAAACUAUAUCUUAAUAUUAUUAAUUGAGUUUAAAUUUUCCCUCCUGUGUGGAGAGCUACUCAGCAAACCUCAUGGUUGAGCUAACAUUUAAAUCAACAAAAAAAACCCAAAAAAAACCUCCAGCAAUUUCGCCAUAAAUCAGCUUUACUCAAGCAUUGCUGUUGGAAUGUAGUGGAAUCCAAGUCUGCUGAGUUCUCUUGAGCAGCUUGCCUGUUUAUCUCACUGCUUUAAAUGCAGUUAGCAGCAAACUAUUAUGCCGAACAAGCUGUAAAUGUAAAGAAAAAACCUAGAACUCAUAAUAGACGGCAAAUCCUGACAAGGUAAUCUGACAUCUUUCAUCGCAGUUCUAUAAAGUAAAUACAUAGGUUGAAAAUACUUAGGUUGUUUGUAAACUCUGAUGGCUUUGUAAACUGAUGGAUCUGGUGAUUUGUAAUUUUCCUUUCCAUGCAGAGGGGUUUAUUUACUAAACACAAUGUUUUGGCUAUUGUUGCCGGUGGCUAAAACUUGUUUGAUAUUGGGUAGUACUAAGGUGAAUUCCAGAGUUCUCCCACGUUGUCCCUUGCUGAGUCCCUUUUUGUUCAAAGUGACACUAUAGACACCCAGAUCACAUAAGCUUAUUCAAGUGGUCUGGGUGAACUGCCCCUGUCCCCCUUAUUCCUGCAAUGUAAAACAUGGCACAUUUAGAGAAACUGCAAAGUUUACAAUGCAGCACUAAGACAUCCUCCAGUGGCUGUCUACAAGACAGCCACUAGAGGUGCUUCCUAGCGUUUGCUGGACUCUAGGUCUUCUAAAUGAGGCUGGACAUCCUCACGCUCUGCAUGAGGACGUCCAGCAUCAGUCAAAUCCCCAUAGGAAAGCAUUGAUCCAGUGCUUUCCUGUGGGGAGGACCUAAUGUGAUCACGUAUACGCAUUUGCCCCCCCUCCCCACCUCUCCCUCGGAUGAUGUUGGGACAUCGGAGCUGGAAUCAGGUAUGUGAUUAGUGUUUUUUUAACCCUUUACUGAUCACGGGUGAGGGGACGAGACGUGAAGGAAGGGCGGCAGAGGGCUCUAUAGUGUUAGGAAUACAUUCUCUUUAAAUCACCUGAACCUGGGAGAAAAAAUGCCUAAUAAGAAUUCGCCAACAAACAUCCCAUCUCAAUUCUCUAUUGACUGUUAAAUUAUAUUUUUUUUACUUUUAGGGUGACUGCAUCACCUAAAUAUUAAAAAGAGUAUUGUUUCUUUUUUUUUUUUUUUUUAAUAGAAUAUGUAAUUUUCAUUCUUGUCAAUGCCAUAUUGAAGUAUGUAUUUUUCAACAAUGUCAAAACCUUGUCUUUAUUCUUCCAACAGAACUGGACAAAUGACUAUAUACUGGGAGUUUUACAACCUGACAAUUAGUUACAUGUUAACCUUAACCUUAUAAAUUCUGAUAGGUUAUACAGCAAGCUGAUCUGCAGAGAAUCAUAAAUUGCUGAGUAUAAUUACUGUGUAUAAUUAUCUAGAAAAUGUUCAGCAACAGUUUGCUUAAUGCAACUUUGCAGAGUGAAAGCCAUUGCUGGUGCAAAGGGAAUGGGUCUUUAUGGGAUAAAUGUUAUGUAACAUUACUUUGCAAAUAAAAAUAAAAGUUAGUUGAGUAAAUACAGUGUUGCGAGGGAAUGGGUUAAAUUUUAUGAAAUGCAGCCAACUUGUCUUUCUAAGUCAGAUUUUUACUUAAUUAAAUGAUCAUGCCUCAUGCCUCCAUAAAUAUAGCAAAAUUACUGUAUUCAAGCCUGAAGCUGUAGCUCUGCAUGCUGUUUGACUUAGAAAAACAAGCAGUCUGCUGACAUCAUCAGAAGUGGUGGCCUGAUCCAAUCACAAUGCUUCCCCAUAGGAUUGGCUGAGACUGAGAAAGAGGCAGAUCAGGGGCAGAGCCAGCACAAUUCAAACACAGCCCUGGCCAAUCAGCGUCUCCUCAUAGAGAUGAAUUGAAUCAAUGAAUCUCUAUGAGGAAAGUUCAGUGUCUGUAUGCAAACGGAGGAGAUACUGAAUGUUUGUUUGGAU